RNAcentral lists this ribosomal RNA (232 nucleotides) under uncultured bacterium. RNAcentral's name for it is "partial 16S ribosomal RNA". It matches the Rfam family "Bacterial small subunit ribosomal RNA", at positions 118 to 350 of the family's 1533-position model. The record is from RNAcentral.
UGAGUAACCUGCCUUCAGCUUUGGGAUAACCCUCGGAAACGGGGGCUAAUACCGGGUAUUCACUCUGGGGGGCAUCUUCUGGGGUGGAAAGCUUUUGCGGCUGGGGAUGGGCUCGCGGCCUAUCAGCUUGCUGGUGGGAUGAUGGCCUACCAAGGCGGCGACGGGUAGCCGGCCUGAGAGGGCGACCGGCCACACUGGGACUGAGACACGGCCCAGACUCCUACGGGAGGCA